GUAGGUGGCAAGCGUUGUCCGGAAUUAUUGGGCGUAAAGCGCGCGCAGGUGGUUCUUUAAGUCUGAUGUGAAAGCCCCCGGCUCAACCGGGGAGGGUCAUUGGAAACUGGGGAACUUGAGUGCAGGAGAGGAAAGUGGAAUUCCACGUGUAGCGGUGAAAUGCGUAGAUAUGUGGAGGAACACCAGUGGCGAAGGCGACUUUCUGGCCUGUAACUGACACUGAGGCGCGAAAGCGUGGGGAGCAGACAGGGAUUAGAUACCCUGGUAGUCCACGCCGUAAACGAUGAGUGCUAAGUGUUGGGGGGGGUUUCCGCCCCCUCAGUGCUGCAGCUAACGCAUUAAGCACUCCGCCCUGGGAGUACGGUCGCAAGACUG
Molecule: ribosomal RNA, 375 nt
Filed under: uncultured organism
Description: partial 16S ribosomal RNA
Rfam family: Bacterial small subunit ribosomal RNA
Source: RNAcentral